This 1484-nucleotide long non-coding RNA is filed under the name Medicago truncatula (barrel medic). Its description in RNAcentral is "lncRNA gene47665". Lineage: Eukaryota; Viridiplantae; Streptophyta; Magnoliopsida; Fabales; Fabaceae. The record is from RNAcentral.
UGUUAAUACAUAUCAAAUGUGGAAAUUGUAUGAGUUGAGUUUCUUUUUGUUGCUGGGCAUGAAGAGAGGACAGGCUUCAAGAGGCAUCAUCGACAUCCCAACUAGGUUGGCACCUCGGGAAACCUCCAUCCUACGCCGCCAAACUCUAAAAAUUUAUUAAAUAAAGGGAAAAAUAUGUACAAAAGGAGGGGGGGACUAGGCCAAAACCCUCCAAAGAAAAAGAACGGAAAAUAAAAAUAAACAACAGUUUGCUAAAAGCUAAGGAAACCUAUAGUUAGGCAAACCAACUCUAUCACGGAAGAAAUCAAGAUGUAACUCCGUCGGGAGUGAGCUGAUCCCAACAAAUCCCUGAAUAGCAUGUCUCAUAUUCGCUACCUAUCAGCACAACAAUUACCUUCGCGAAAAAUAUGAGAUGCAAUGAUCUGAAUGCCAAGACUACAGGCAUUAUACCAUCUGUUCCGAAGCAGCAAAGGAACUAAAGAAGGAUUCGAAAAAAUUAAAAUAGCACUUGAGGAGUCACUUUCCAACCAAACAUUUCGCCAUCCAUGAUGAGCCGCAUGCUCCAUAGCUAGAAUGAAAGCCAAGACUUCCGAAUGGAACACAGAAGCAGCACCGAUAUUACCAACGAAAGCACCAAGAAAAGAUCCACGGGAGUCCUGAAAAAGGCCCCCACAGGUACGGUAGUGUGCAGGCAUCGUGAAAGAAUCAAGUAAAGUAGAGUCUGUGUGCAAGUACUUCCCCACCGAAGCUUUACUCAACAUGACCACCAAGGAAUGAAUUUUCACCUUUGCGGAUUGAACAUUAGCUGCAUUAGAAGAAAAUCGGAUAGAAUUGCGCGAUAGCCUAAUAGUGUGAAUCGUAUGAAUGACUGCUACAAGGAAUAAAUCUACAAUCUGAGAAGAGCACCGAGUAGGAAUACAAGAAAGGAGAGAGAGCGUUGAAGCACACUCUAUCACGCAAUUGAGCUUUCCACCCAGCCAAGUCCAAAGUUCCUUUGCAAACGGGCACUGAAGAAAUAAAUGAUACGAGGAUUCGUCGGUAUUCAAGCAAAAGCAACAAGCCGAAACUAUAAUACAACCCCGCGUCCGAAGAUUCUCAUCUGUAGGCAUCGAUCUUUCUAUGCACUAAACGCCAAAAGGUAAAGGAAUGAGAAGGAGGUAUGCACCUCGUUCAAAUUAAGUCCACCCAAGGCAAAAGAGGAUGAGGAACACAUUCUUUGAUGAUAAUGUACUAUCUGUAGAAUAUUGUUUCUUCAAAAGAGGAUGAGGCGGCUUUAAGAAUGCAAACGCAUUCUCAUAAUUCUUCAAAUAUUGUUUCUUUUUUGUUAUAAUUUGUUUCUAACAAAAUCAAAAAGAAAUUCUUGUGUACUUAUUGUUAUUAGUAACCUUUGUUGAAAGUUGUUUUUGGAAUUAAAAUUAUGGUUACAAAGAAUAGAGCAAGGUUUGAACUCUUUAAAGAGUCCUAUUCAAAGAGCUAGGUUUAAC